Non-coding RNA from Pelobates cultripes (western spadefoot toad), 278 nucleotides. The record is from the annotation of a GenBank genome assembly. Lineage: Eukaryota; Metazoa; Chordata; Amphibia; Anura; Pelobatidae.
AAUGACUGAUUUACGCUCCUGUAUUGGCUGCCCCAGUCCCUAACAAAUAUUUUAUUGUCCAUAUAGAUGCUUCCAUGUUUGGACUGGGGGCAGUUUUGAGCCAGGUUGGAGAGGACGGAGGAGAGCACCCUAUAGCGUACCUUAGCCAAAAACUACUACCCCUAGAAGGAAGUUAUGCGGUAGUGGAGAAGGAGUGUCUGGUCUUCGUGUGGGCAUUUAAAAAAAUUGACUCCCUAUUUGUACAGACAGGAAUUUACCAUUAUUUUUUUGUAUGUCCC